This 465-nucleotide ribosomal RNA is filed under the name uncultured bacterium. RNAcentral's name for it is "bacterial SSU rRNA". It matches the Rfam family "Bacterial small subunit ribosomal RNA", at positions 338 to 795 of the family's 1533-position model. The record is from RNAcentral.
CCUACGGGCCGCACCAGUAGGGAAUCUUCGGCAAUGAACGAAAGUCUGACCGAGCAACGCCGCGUGAGUGAAGAAGGUUUUCGGAUCGUAAAACUCUGUUGGUAGAGAAGAACGUUGGUGAGAGUGGAAAGCUCAUCAAGUGACGGUAACUACCCAGAAAGGGACGGCUAACUACGUGCCAGCAGCCGCGGUAAUACGUAGGUCCCGAGCGUUGUCCGGAUUUAUUGGGCGUAAAGCGAGCGCAGGUGGUUUAUUAAGUCUGGUGUAAAAGGCAGUGGCUCAACCAUUGUAUGCAUUGGAAACUGGUAGACUUGAGUGCAGGAGAGGAGAGUGGAAUUCCAUGUGUAGCGGUGAAAUGCGUAGAUAUAUGGAGGAACACCGGUGGCGAAAGCGGCUCUCUGGCCUGUAACUGACGCUGAGGCGCGAAAGCGUGGGGAUCAAACAGGAUUAGAUACCCUUGUAGUC